UUCUGUGUGUGUGUUCCUUUCUCUGCAUCCAAUGAAGUGCGCUGUAGCCCACAAAAGUUUAUGCUCAAAUAAAUGUGUUAGUCUCUAAGGUGCCACAAGGACUCCUGU
Molecule: long non-coding RNA, 108 nt
Organism: Gopherus evgoodei (Goodes thornscrub tortoise)
Lineage: Eukaryota; Metazoa; Chordata; Testudines; Testudinidae
Exons: 3
Source: RefSeq, a predicted model, not a curated record